GAUGAACGCUGGCGGCGUGCUUAACACAUGCAAGUCGAACGAAGCACUUAAGUUUGAUUCUUCGGAUGAAGACUUUUGUGACUGAGUGGCGGACGGGUGAGUAACGCGUGGGUAACCUGCCUCAUACAGGGGGAUAACAGUUAGAAAUGACUGCUAAUACCGCAUAAGACCACGGCACCGCAUGGUGCAGGGGUAAAAACUCCGGUGGUAUGGGAUGGACCCGCGUCUGAUUAGCUGGUUGGUGGGGUAACGGCCUACCAAGGCGACGAUCAGUAGCCGACCUGAGAGGGUGACCGGCCACAUUGGGACUGAGACACGGCCCAAACUCCUACGGGAGGCAGCAGUGGGGAAUAUUGCACAAUGGGGGAAACCCUGAUGCAGCGACGCCGCGUGAAGGAUGAAGUAUUUCGGUAUGUAAACUUCUAUCAGCAGGGAAGAAAAUGACGGUACCUGACUAAGAAGCCCCGGCUAACUACGUGCCAGCAGCCGCGGUAA
RNAcentral lists this ribosomal RNA (495 nucleotides) under uncultured bacterium. RNAcentral describes it as "partial 16S ribosomal RNA". It matches the Rfam family "Bacterial small subunit ribosomal RNA", at positions 28 to 523 of the family's 1533-position model. The record is from RNAcentral.